GUGGUGUUUUUAAGUUGGUAGAGUACUUGCCUGGCAUGCAUGAAGCCCUGGGUUCAAUCCCAGAGACCACA
This 71-nucleotide transfer RNA is filed under the name Mus musculus (house mouse). It matches the Rfam family "tRNA". From Rfam's summary of the family: Transfer RNA (tRNA) molecules are approximately 80 nucleotides in length. Their secondary structure includes four short double-helical elements and three loops (D, anti-codon, and T loops). RNAcentral also lists the same sequence under 1 other name. The record is from Rfam by way of RNAcentral. Lineage: Eukaryota; Metazoa; Chordata; Mammalia; Rodentia; Muridae.